GUGAGUGUAGCUCAGUUGGCAGAGCUCAGGAUUGUGAUUCCUGCGGUCGCGGGUUCGACCCCCGUCGCUCACC
This 73-nucleotide transfer RNA is filed under the name Spirochaetia bacterium. RNAcentral's name for it is "tRNA-His". It matches the Rfam family "tRNA". Rfam says of the family: Transfer RNA (tRNA) molecules are approximately 80 nucleotides in length. Their secondary structure includes four short double-helical elements and three loops (D, anti-codon, and T loops). Lineage: Bacteria; Pseudomonadati; Spirochaetota; Spirochaetia. The record is from RNAcentral.